ACCAGGAACUUCUUUCAAUGAACUCUGUACGUGAGAAGCAGCUGGUUUCUUGUUGGGUUUUCAAAGUGCUCUGUAUUUAAUCAGCUCGCGUUCACAAUGGCGAUGGUAUACUGAUCAUUGCGUUCUUGUCACGGACCGGAAACUGGAGUGUGAUAUCUGACUACCCCACCCUCUCGAUCGCUCCAAGACCUCUCUCUUAAUGAAGGGUCAAAAAGGACUCUUCAUGUUCAAAAUCCUCCAUCACCAGGACACCGAAAUGAGGUCUUCUUAUCAAGAGCUUCCUCUGAACACUGAACUGGACAGGCUCGGUGAACAGAAGAAGGAUUUGAACUCUUAGCUAUCGUCUGAGUAUACAAGGGGCGGCCAGGCAUGAAGGUUAUCGGGCAGCAGCUCAAACAUGGCCCAUCGCUCGAUCCCCUUCGUCACGUCCACAAGGAUUUUCGUCAUGCUCUCUCCCCCAAGCCCUUCGAAGGACCUGCCUCCUCCGUUGACGCUGAUGUAGUAGUAGACGAU
Long non-coding RNA from Penaeus monodon (black tiger shrimp), 513 nucleotides. RefSeq lists it as uncharacterized. The transcript has 3 exons. The record is from RefSeq and is a predicted model, not a curated record. NCBI's taxonomy places the organism in Eukaryota, Metazoa, Arthropoda, Malacostraca, Decapoda, Penaeidae.